GACGAACGCUGGCGGCGUGCUUAACACAUGCAAGUCGAACGGAAAGGCCCUGCUUUUGUGGGGUGCUCGAGUGGCGAACGGGUGAGUAACACGUGAGUAACCUGCCCUUGACUUUGGGAUAACUUCAGGAAACUGGGGCUAAUACCGGGUAGGAGCUCCUGCUGCAUGGUGGGGGUUGGAAAGUUUCGGCGGUUGGGGAUGGACUCGCGGCUUAUCAGCUUGUUGGUGGGGUAGUGGCUUACCAAGGCUUUGACGGGUAGCCGGCCUGAGAGGGUGACCGGCCACAUUGGGACUGAGAUACGGCCCAGACUCCUACGGGAGGCAGCAGUGGGGAAUAUUGCACAAUGGGCGGAAGCCUGAUGCAGCAACGCCGCGUGCGGGAUGGCGGCCUUCGGGUUGUAAACCGCUUUCGCCUGUGACGAAGCGUGAGUGACGGUAAUGGGUAAAGAAGCACCGGCUAACUACGUG
RNAcentral lists this ribosomal RNA (468 nucleotides) under uncultured bacterium. RNAcentral's name for it is "partial 16S ribosomal RNA". It matches the Rfam family "Bacterial small subunit ribosomal RNA", at positions 28 to 507 of the family's 1533-position model. The record is from RNAcentral.